GGUUAAAAAGCUCGUAGUUGGAUCUCGGCGGGCAGGGGGUGGUUCGCUCUUCAGCGCUACUGCCCCGCUUUGCCCGUGUGAUUGGCGGAGGUUUCGGGGUGCUCUUCGUUGAGUGACUCGGAGCGCCGUCAGGUUUACUUUGAAAAAAUUAGAGUGCUCAAAGCAGGCUUUUCACGCUUGAAUAUUCGUGCAUGGAAUAAUGGAAUAGGAACUCGUUUCUAUUUUGUUGGUUUUCGGAAAUCGAGUUAAUGAUUAACAGGGACAAUUGGGGGCAUUAGUAUUCAGACGACAGAGGUGAAAUUCUUGGACCGUCUGAAGACUGACUACUGCGAAAGCAUUUGCCAAGAGUGUUUUCAUUAAUCAAGAACGAAAGUUAGAGGUUCGAAGGCGAUCAGAUACCGCCCUAGUUCUAACCAUAAACGAUGCCAGCUAGCGAUCUGCCGAGUUUUUUUUGUAGGCUCCGCAGGAAGCUUUCGGGAAACCAAAGCUUUUGGGUUCCGGGGGAAGUAUGGUUGCAAAGCUGAAACUUAAAGGAAUUGACGGAAGGGCACCACCAGGAGUGGAGCCUGCGGCUUAAUUUGACUCAACACGGGAAAUCUCACCAGGCCCGGACACUGGAAGGAUUGACAGAUUGAGAGCUCUUUCUCGAUUCGGUGGGUGGUGGUGCAUGGCCGUUCUUAGUUGGUGGAGUGAUUUGUCUGGUUAAUUCCGAUAACGAACGAGACUCUGUCCUGCUAAAUAGUUGGGUCGUCCUUCGUGCGAUCCAAGUUCUUCUUAGAGGGACUGGCUGCGUCUAGCAGCACGAGAUUGAGCAAUAACAGGUCUGUGAU
This 830-nucleotide ribosomal RNA is filed under the name uncultured eukaryote. RNAcentral's name for it is "SSU rRNA". It matches the Rfam family "Eukaryotic small subunit ribosomal RNA", at positions 617 to 1468 of the family's 1831-position model. The record is from RNAcentral.